AGUAACGCGUGGGUAACCUGCCUCAUACACAUGGAUAACAUACCGAAAGGUAUGCUAAUACAAGAUGAUAUAAGAGAUUCGCAUGGAUUUCUUAUCAAAGCUUUUGCGGUAUGAGAUGGACCCGCGUCUGAUUAGCUAGUUGGUAAGGUAAUGGCUUACCAAGGCGACGAUCAGUAGCCGACCUGAGAGGGUGAUCGGCCACAUUGGAACUGAGACACGGUCCAAACUCCUACGGGAGGCAGCAUG
Molecule: ribosomal RNA, 246 nt
Filed under: uncultured bacterium
Lineage: Bacteria
Description: partial 16S ribosomal RNA
Rfam family: Bacterial small subunit ribosomal RNA
Source: RNAcentral